RNAcentral lists this ribosomal RNA (330 nucleotides) under uncultured bacterium. RNAcentral's name for it is "bacterial SSU rRNA". It matches the Rfam family "Bacterial small subunit ribosomal RNA", at positions 568 to 898 of the family's 1533-position model. The record is from RNAcentral.
UGCGUAGGCUGCUUUUUAAGUUUGGUGUGAAAUCUCCCGGCUCAACUGGGAGGGUGCGCCGAAUACUGAGAGGCUAGAGUGUGGGAGAGGAAAGUGGAAUUCCUGGUGUAGCGGUGAAAUGCGUAGAUAUCAGGAGGAACACCGGUGGUGUAAACGGCUUUCUGGACCAUAACUGACGCUGAGGCACGAAAGCGUGGGUAGCAAACAGGAUUAGAUACCCUGGUAGUCCACGCCCUAAACGAUGCAUAUUUGGUGUGGGCCAUUCAUUUGGUCUGUGCCGGAGCUAACGCGUUAAAUAUGCCGCCUGGGGAGUACAGUCGCAAGGCUGAA